CCAGUUGCGAAACGAAACCAUUAUCUCGGUGUUACACCCUCUCAAACUCUCUAUUCUUUUCGCACAACCUGACACCCUUGCCGGAGAAGCUAGUCGUCGCCGGAGAAGAAGCCGACGUCACCGGAGAUCGAGAAGACGACCGGAAUUCACGUCGAACACAAACCGCCACGUUCGGUAUACUCUCUAAUGCUCCCCAAUCCAUUUCGUUAUGUUUUGUUUUAAGAAACCUUAACAAGAGUUUAGAAAUCACGAACAGAGGGUGGGAGGCUUCGUGUUCUUGUUCGGGUUGGGUUAAAACGAUCACCUCGAGUCGUUUCGGAAAUUAUUUCGUUACCGUGUCGAUUCGUUUUGAUUAUUAUACUUAAAACAAACUGAGAAUUAACGAGAAUGAAGUAAAAGAGACAACUCCACAAUGUUCAGUUUGGUUUCGACGUUUCUGUUCGGUGGGUUAUUUUGUAGAAAAUGAUGAUUCUGUUAAUCAAUAUUUAAAGCUUAAUAAAACAACAUCAGACGCAGAGAAACCAUAUCCCAAACGGCUGAGGUUGCUGCGGAUGGACUUGAGGUCACGGGUUCGAUCCGGUCUGACCUGUUUUCUUUGGGGAUUUUUAUUUUAGUCCUUUUUCAUUUAAAUUGACUUUUUUUCUUGUAUUUUCAAAAACUGAUGCUUUUGAUUUUCAAUUCCUUUACUUUAUUUUAAUUAAAACCUUAAAUUCUAAAUCCAUUUUUACUUAAAACUCUUAAAUGCUAACUUGUUUUCUUUUUAUUAAAUCUCUUAAAAUGUCUUUAUACGAAAAUAUUAAAAAGAUUAGUUAAAAUUCCAACUAAAUAGUGAUGGAAUUAAAUUGUAAACCUUAAAUAUUAGGAAUAUUAUUUGACGAGAUCGUAUGUGGUAUUUCAAUAUCUAGGAUAAUCACUUUGCUCGUUCUUUUGGAUUUCCAAUCCUUACUCGUUCGUUCUUACAAGAAAUCGCAACGCAAUCUAAGGUGAGUAUACAUGACCCAUUUUCGUUUUACACUUUUGGGUGCAAUAUGUAUUCUAUAUCAAACAUCACAAUCACAUCAAACAUUUUAUGCACACUCUAUCCAUACUCUAUGUGAUACAUUUUAAUCAUGUUAGACAUGUUAUGCUACUGUAAACACUCAUAACUAUGUGUUCAUUAAUUUCGUACAAGCCUCCCCUAACAAUGGUAGCGCUAUAGGUUGAGAAACGCCCCUCUCGUUAUAUUAACGAGUAUUGUUAGGUUAAUCUAUGUUAAAACCACCCAUACUCUUUUGGGUAGGCACUUUAAUUGCGUUAAACUUUGGUUUGGACACGUAGAGUAACAUCGUUUCGAGUAUACUGUCAAUAUGAUAUUGUAUUUCACAUUUGGAUAUGAGUAACAUUUUAAACACGUACUAUGCUAUGUAUGAAAACUUGUAUACUCGCCAACAUGCUUUUGUUGACUUUAUUUUAAUACAUAUUGCAGGUUGAAUGAUCAAGAAAACAAGAAUCAAGCUAGGAUGGACAUUAGAAACCCACUUAGCAUUUUUGAUUAUUGUUGAAUGUUAUGUUUAUUUAUUUGGAACUAUGUACCAUACUUUACAAUUUAUGAAAUGAAUUUAAUAAUUUAUUGUC
Molecule: long non-coding RNA, 1614 nt
Filed under: Helianthus annuus (common sunflower)
Lineage: Eukaryota; Viridiplantae; Streptophyta; Magnoliopsida; Asterales; Asteraceae
Description: hypothetical non coding rna
Source: RNAcentral